GAUGAACGCUGGCGGCGUGCCUAAUACAUGCAAGUCGAGCGAACAGACGAGGAGCUUGCUCCUCUGACGUUAGCGGCGGACGGGUGAGUAACACGUGGAUAACCUACCUAUAAGACUGGGAUAACUUCGGGAAACCGGAGCUAAUACCGGAUAAUAUAUUGAACCGCAUGGUUCAAUAGUGAAAGACGGUUUUGCUGUCACUUAUAGAUGGAUCCGCGCCGCAUUAGCUAGUUGGUAAGGUAACGGCUUACCAAGGCAACGAUGCGUAGCCGACCUGAAAGGGUGAUCGGCCACACUGGAACUGAGACACGGUCCAGAUUCCUACGGGAGGCAGCAGUAGGGAAUCUUCCGCAAUGGGCGAAAGCCUGACGGAGCAACGCCGCGUGAGUGAUGAAGGUCUUCUGAUCGGAAAACUCUGUUAUUAGGGAAGAACAAAUGUGUAAGUAACUAUGCACGUCUUGACGGUACCUAAUCAGAAAGCCACGGCUAACUACGUG
This 497-nucleotide ribosomal RNA is filed under the name uncultured bacterium. RNAcentral describes it as "partial 16S ribosomal RNA". It matches the Rfam family "Bacterial small subunit ribosomal RNA", at positions 28 to 507 of the family's 1533-position model. The record is from RNAcentral.